GACGAACGCUGGCGGCGUGCUUAACACAUGCAAGUCGAACGGAAAGGCCCUGCUUUUGUGGGGUGCUCGAGUGGCGAACGGGUGAGUAACACGUGAGUAACCUGCCCUUGACUUUGGGAUAACUUCAGGAAACUGGGGCUAAUACCGGAUAGGAGCUCCUGCUGCAUGGUGGGGGUUGGAAAGUUUCGGCGGUUGGGGAUGGACUCGCGGCUUAUCAGCUUGUUGGUGGGGUAGUGGCUUACCAAGGCUUUGACGGGUAGCCGGCCUGAGAGGGUGACCGGCCACAUUGGGACUGAGAUACGGCCCAGACUCCUACGGGAGGCAGCGGUGGGGAAGAUUACACAAUGGGCGGAAGCCUGAUGCAGCAACGCCGCGUGCGGGAUGACGGCCUUCGGGUUGUAAACCGCUUUCGCCUGUGACGAAGCGUGAGUGACGGUAAUGGGUAAAGAAGCACCGGCUAACUACGUG
Molecule: ribosomal RNA, 468 nt
Filed under: uncultured bacterium
Lineage: Bacteria
Description: partial 16S ribosomal RNA
Rfam family: Bacterial small subunit ribosomal RNA
Source: RNAcentral